Molecule: regulatory RNA element, 64 nt
Organism: Paracoccus sp. SM22M-07
Lineage: Bacteria; Pseudomonadati; Pseudomonadota; Alphaproteobacteria; Rhodobacterales; Paracoccaceae
Rfam family: terC RNA
Source: Rfam
CUGCGGGACCGGGCCCCUCUGGCGUCAUGAUCAAACUGAUCUGGCGCGAUGUCGGACCGCAUCG